This 1022-nucleotide ribosomal RNA is filed under the name Mucor flavus. RNAcentral describes it as "LSU rRNA". It matches the Rfam family "Eukaryotic large subunit ribosomal RNA", at positions 38 to 961 of the family's 3401-position model. Lineage: Eukaryota; Fungi; Mucoromycota; Mucoromycetes; Mucorales; Mucoraceae. The record is from RNAcentral.
GCAUAUCAAUAAGCGGAGGAAAAGAAAAUAACAAUGAUUUCCCUAGUAACGGCGAGUGAAGAGGAAAGAGCUCAAAGUUGGAACCUGUUUGGCUUAGCUAAACCGGAUUGUAAACUGUAGAAGUGUUUUCCAGACACGCCUGGUAAAAAAGUCCUUUGGAACAGGGCAUCAUAGAGGGUGAGAAUCCCGUCUUUGGCCAGAGCUGUUGUCUUUUGUGAUACAUUUUCAAAGAGUCAGGUUGUUUGGGAAUGCAGCCUAAAUUGGGUGGUAAAUCUCACCUAAAGCUAAAUAUUUGCGAGAGACCGAUAGCGAACAAGUACCGUGAGGGAAAGAUGAAAAGAACUUUGAAAAGAGAGUUAAACAGUAUGUGAAAUUGUUAAAAGGGAACCGUUUGGAGCCAGACUGGCUUGACUGUAAUCAAUCUAGGCUUCGGCCUGGAUGCACUUGCGGUUUAUGCCUGCCAACGACAAUUUUUUUUGAGGGAAAAAACUAUUCGGAAUGUGGCCCUCCCUCGGGGGGGUGUUAUAGCCUUAUAGAAAAUACCUUGAAUUGGAUUGAGGAACGCAGUGAAUGCCUUUAGGCAAGAUUGCUGGGUGCUUUCGCUAAUAAAUGCUAGAAUUUCUGCUUCGGGUGGUGCUAGUGUUUAAAGGAGGAACUCGCCUAGUAUAUUUUUUAUUCGCUUAGGUUGUUGGCUUAAUGACUCUAAAUGACCCGUCUUGAAACACGGACCAAGGAGUCCACCAUUAGUGCGAGUAUUUGGGUGCCAAACCCAUAUGCGUAAGGAAACUGAUUGAUACGAAAUCUUUAAGAUGGCAGUAUCACCCGGCGAAGACGUUUUAUACUGAACCGACCGAGGUAAAGCACUAAUGAUGGGACCCGAAAGAUGGUGAACUAUGCCUGAAUAGGGUGAAGCCGGAGGAAACUCCGGUGGAGGCUCGUAGCGAUUCUGACGUGCAAAUCGAUCGUCAAAUUUGGGUAUAGGGGCGAAAGACUAAUCGAACCAUCUAGUAGCUGGUUCUGCG